Molecule: long non-coding RNA, 456 nt
Organism: Oreochromis aureus
Lineage: Eukaryota; Metazoa; Chordata; Actinopteri; Cichliformes; Cichlidae
Source: Ensembl
CUAGAAUAUACGAGGUUAUCAAACAGCUUAAAAGAAAAAAUGUGCAAGCAAAAUGUCUAUACCCAGCGAAGUUGAGAAUACAACUGGACACUGGAGAGAAGACCUUCGCAACAUUAACAGAGGCUGCGCAACAGUUGAAAGAGAUGGGAGUCGAAAUAGGUCGCGGUGAUGGACGGCACAUCGAAGAAGAGCUGAAAGAAGGUUGGAGAAACAACAGGAGAAGGCAAAGGGAGGCGGCGUUGUCGAUCUCGGACCUCAGGGUCCUCAUGCAGGAAGGACAUUAAAUUACCUAAACGUCAUAGUGAUUUGAAAGUGUGUGGAAAAGAGGGAGAAAAAAUAAAUGGAGACAAAAAAAGUGGCGACCCAAAUCAGUGUGGUGCAGAACGCACCAAGGAAACAUACAACUCUGCUGUUGAACGCCUCAAGACUGAAGAAAUGGGUGAUAUGGACCAAAGC